RNAcentral lists this long non-coding RNA (4296 nucleotides) under Pelobates cultripes (western spadefoot toad). The record is from RNAcentral. Lineage: Eukaryota; Metazoa; Chordata; Amphibia; Anura; Pelobatidae.
UAUUUUUCUAUAUAUACAUAUAUAUAUAUAUAUAUAUAUACACACACACACAGAGGAAUAUACUGAACUAAAACAAUGCAUAUAUACACACACAAAUGUUUCCGUCAAUUACUUGGAAGUAACUAAACACAUUGUUAAAAACAUACAAAGCAAUCUUAGAACUUUAUGAUGACAUACAAAGCAAUUUCAAUCCGAAAUUAAACUGAGUAUAACAACAUAGCAGAUUAUACUGGUAAUAAAUAUCUCAUGCUUCUCCUGACAUGGGGGUUUAAUUCACUAAAUAAAAAGAGUUGAAGUCCGUUGACCAAUGCGCUGCAGAUAUUUGGGCCAAACCAGUUAAGAUGGAAAACAAAACAAAAUUGUUUUAAUUAAAAAUUUGUAUGCCAAUCCAAGAACAAAAUAGCCAAUAUAUAUACACAAUAUGUUAUAUACAUAUAUAAAUUGUUUUAAAAAUAUGGAAAAAACAUUAAAAAGUAAAUAAAAGUAAAUAAAAAACACACAAAAAACCUAGUCUUACAAUAACCAUACCAUAACCAAAUCUAAGUGUGUGCACUGUGCUUUUAUUAAAUCAUAAAGUCCAAAAUUGUUGAAAUAAGUGUUUUACCUAGAAUUAUUAUACAUAUGAUUGUCUUUCCUGGAUGGAGUAUGAUGAUAUCCAGUUAUAAACAAGAUUUUCACAGCAUAUAAUCAAAAUCACAAAUUUCACGUUUUUGUUUUUUUUUUACAAGUUACCAUUCAUAAAAAUUGGAGGAGAAAAAUACAAAGACAACAGUUUUAACAUAACAUGUAAACUGUGUGAAUUACAGUACAUCUAUAAAAUUAGGAGGCGAUGCCAGAAUACCAAGAUAACUGUUUUAAAAUAGCAUGUAAACUAUGUGAAAUACAUUAUAGGAAACAAACUGACACAAUUUCCUUCACUGUACAAUUUCUCAGAUCUUUGAAAUAGAAAAUCAAAAAAAUACUGACAGUUGGAGAGUUCGCUAGCAAACCAAGAAAGAACGCUCUAGAUCAGGGGUUCCCAAACCAGUCCUCAAGUACCCCCUACUAGUCCAGGAUUUAGGAAUUAUUUUGUUGUAUCUAACGUGUUUUUGUUUGUAAAAACACCUUAGACAUAACUGGGUAAUCCCUAAAUCCUGGACUAUUAAGGAGUACUUGAGGACUAGGUUGGAAACCACUGCUCUAGAUUAUAUAUACAAAGAUACAGGACACGUAAUCAAACAAUUAUAACAGCGAUGUCAAAUUAGAAGGUUACAUUAUUAAUAUAGCUCCUGAUAUUUCAUAAGAAUUUCCAUUUAAGGUAGUUCAGAUUUGCAUAUUUGUUACUAAGUGUAUACAACCAAUAUAUGCUUUUUUUUUUUUAAUUUUUUUUUUUAAAGUUAGAUCUGUGGUGUUUAAUUUUAAGUAUAUUUUAAACGUCUUUAUUAAAAUGAUUAUCUUAAUGACUUAAGACAAAGCACCCUACUAUAAAUACUCAAGCUUGUUUGUAUGGAAGACUGUCAAGUACAUACGCCCUAUUUUGAUUCACAUUAUUUCACAGUUUUUGAAGUAAAUAACACGUUGCUUUAGGGAAAAAGUAAACUAAUCCCAUGAAAAAGCUGGACUACCUUUUCUUUAUAUGAAAUAAAGUCAUAAUAUGACAUCUUACCAACAUUUUAGCACUAAAGAUGUUUAAAUGUUAGCGCAAAAGUAAGCUCCCAUUUAUAAAAUGGAAGGCAAAAUAUUUUGAGAAAAAAACUUCUAUCAGUAUACUUGUCAAUUUUAACACUUAAUGUAAAGUCAAUAACUUUAGUCAUAUGUAUAUUUAAAUAAUGUUUUUCUAUCCCAUCUACCAAUAAGGCAUCCAAAAUAAUAGGGAAGAGAGUAACAUAACAGUGUAAAAAUUUGUAGCAACAUUAAAGAGAAGAAUAUUUAUUUCAUGUAUGGAGGAGUCAUGUUAGAACUAAGGCAGCAAUACCUUUACAUUACAGGGUAUCCCUGCCCCCACUACAGGUAAUUAGACCAUGUGUUCAGGUUUGUGAUUAAAAUUAAAUUGGUUUGCAAGCUCCAUUUUUAUUCUGAAUAUAAAUGGUUUGCGAAGAACCAUAACAAAAACAUAAGUUGCCAAUUAGGACAUGAAAUGUAAUUCUCUUGCCAAAAAGACUACAAUACUAUGACUUUCAAAGUAAAGCCUAAAGAAACCAUCAACAGAAAUAUAGAUUUCAAAAGGAGUGAAUAAAAAGUUGUAUGAUACCCACACAGGCACACUUGCUCUGCAACAUAUCUAAGUCUACAAGUCAUAUUCAAAUUACAUCUACUCAACUUACAAUUCUCACUUACAUCAUGACUGUAUCAGAUAACCUCUCUUGAAUUACAUAGCAGUCUUUUUACAUCUUAAUAUAGUCUGUGAGCACCUAAUGUAAUGCCCCCUAGCAUCCUCUAAACUACAAUAUAAACAGUAUAUAUUAUGAGUGAUCAGCAAGUUAUAUACUUUGCCCUACUGUUGUUAUUAUUAAGUUGAAUAUAUGUUUCCAUAUUUUUGCAUAUAAAGGAAGCAGUUUUAAUGCAGUCUUAAAUAUGAUUUUUUUUAAAAUGACUGUACUCAAAACUAGUGAGCAACCCUUAGAUAAAAAGACAAUCUUUUGCCAUGUUUGUGUACACUAGUAUGAUUUAAAAUAGGCCUUUUAUAUUUUAAAUUAACUUUGUUCCAAGACUCCUGUUUGUGAGCCGGUGCCCAUUUAGAUGUAAAGCUGAAACUAUACAUACAUACCACAAAAAGACCUUCAAUUACAAGAUGUAACAUACGCAUUUCAACUAAGUGAUGGUAAACCAGAAUAUAAUGAUUUUUUUUUCCAUAUCAGCAAUCUUGACCUACAAUUUCCAACUUGUUAAUGUCAACCACAAAUUAUAAUAAUGUAGAAUCAAUGUGUUCAGCCCCUUGUUUACCGAACAAGCAGGAGCUGCCUUGUAUCAGAGGAAGCCAUUUUCACUGAAUAUGAUAUCCAUGCAAUGAUACUAUCAAAAAAAAUGUGAUACUGCUGGUUUCCAAGAUCAAAUUUUGCAGAUGGAACCAUUAAUGGACAUUUUAAAGGAGCUUCAAUCAGCAUAGUUACAGUAGUGUUUUGUAACGUGGCCAAUUUGCUACUUAAUAAUUUCAUAGAAUACACCCCAAAAUGACACCAAUAUAAAAGGACAGUGCUCAGUUAUACUAUCUCACAGACAAUAUUUUACAGGCCAUAAAAAAUAUAUACAGUUUUUUUUGUCUGAGAAACAAUUGAACCUCUACUUAGUCUUAAUAAUGGUCAUACUGUAGCUGCACAGAAAGUUAAUCAAGUUUACCAUCAAAUUGUACAGACAGAAAACAGAAUUUGCCCUCAAGAACCUCUGAAACAUGCAUUAACCCUUUGAGUGCAUACUGUGCAAUAUAUUAUGACAUUAGUCCUCAAAAACUAGCCCUCAAAAGCAGAUUUCCUCACCAAGAUAGAAACUACAUAGUGUACAUACAAUCUAUCAUCUAAAAUCUAAGAAAUGGAUUCUCAUCUAGAGCUAAAAAUUCAAAUGUUAUGCUUUAUUAAAAAAAAAAAAAAAAAAUAUGAAUAAACAACUAAGAAUAUAUUUUAGCUUCUACACAUACCGGUUCCAUACUAUUAUUAUUUAAUUAUUUGUAUAGCAACAGCAAGUUCUGUAGCGCUGUACAAUUAUGCUAUAUUAAUAAGUGUGCAUGCAUUUGGGCUAUGUUGUAUACAUUUUCAUUGUGGUUUUUUUUUUGUUCUUUUGCAUUAAGCUCACAAAAGUGUCAGUAACAAUAACUAAUAAUUUACCGUAUAUACUCAAGUAUAAGCCGACCCGAAUAUAAGCCGAGGCCCCUAAUUUUACCACAAAAAACUGGGAAAACUUAUUGACUCGAGUAUAAGCCUAGGGUGGGAAAUGCAGCAGCUACUGGUAAAUUUCUAAAUAAAAUUAGAUCCCAAUAAAAUUACAUUAGUUGAAUAUUUAUUUACAGUGUGUGUAUAGAAUGAAUGCAGAGUGUGUGUUUGUGUGUGUAUAUAUAAUGAAUGCAGUGUGUGUGUUUGUGUGUGUAUAUAAUGAAUGCAGUGUGUAUAUAAUGCAGUGUGUGUGUUUGUGCAGUGUGUGUAAACUGGGUGAGGGGAGGGCAUUUUUAUUUAAAUUUUUUUAUUUUAAUAUUAUAUUAUUUUAAUAAUAUUAUUUUAUUAUUAUAUUAUUAUUAUUUUAAUAUUAUAUUAUUUUAAUAAUAUUAUUAUUUUAAUAUUUGCAUUAUUUUUUUUUAAAUGUUUUUUUGUCCCCCCUCCCUGCUUGUUG